UAAUAUAUUAAAUGAUUUAUGCUCAAAUGUAUUGAAUUUAUUGUGGAUUAUAUCGAUUAAUGUUGAUGUUACAUGGUUUAUGAUUUUUUUUGAAUUAAAAUAUAAAAGAAAUAUUUUGAUUUGAGAUGGAUUUGACUCGCAAUCUGACUAUGUAACGAAUCCUACCAAUUGAGGUUAAACGUUAGUAUUUUGAUACCCUGCU
RNAcentral lists this long non-coding RNA (202 nucleotides) under Elaeis guineensis (African oil palm). RNAcentral's name for it is "long non-coding RNA (EGUI_LNC024921)". The record is from RNAcentral. Lineage: Eukaryota; Viridiplantae; Streptophyta; Magnoliopsida; Arecales; Arecaceae.